GAAAUCAACCGAGAUUCCCCCAGUAGCGGCGAGCGAACGGGGAGGAGCCCAGAGCCUGAAUCAGCAUGUGUGUUAGUGGAAGCGUCUGGAAAGGCGCGCGAUACAGGGUGACAGCCCCGUACACAAAAGCGCAUGUGCUGUGAGCUCGAUGAGUAGGGCGGGACACGUGGUAUCCUGUCUGAAUAUGGGGGGACCAUCCUCCAAGGCUAAAUACUCCUGACUGACCGAUAGUGAACCAGUACCGUGAGGGAAAGGCGAAAAGAACCCCGGCGAGGGGAGUGAAAAAGAACCUGAAACCGUGUACGUACAAGCAGUGGGAGCACCCUUUGGGGUGUGACUGCGUACCUUUUGUAUAAUGGGUCAGCGACUUAUAUUCUGUAGCAAGGUUAACCGUAUAGGGGAGCCGGAGGGAAACCGAGUCUUAACCGGGCGUUAAGUUGCAGGGUAUAGACCCGAAACCCGGUGAUCUAGCCAUGGGCAGGUUGAAGGUUGGGUAACACUAACUGGAGGACCGAACCGACUAAUGUUGAAAAAUUAGCGGAUGACCUGUGGCUGGGGGUGAAAGGCCAAUCAAACCGGGAGAUAGCUGGUUCUCCCCGAAAGCUAUUUAGGUAGCGCCUCGUGAAUUCAUCUCCGGGGGUAGAGCACUGUUUCGGCUAGGGGGCCAUCCCGGCUUACCAACCCGAUGCAAACUGCGAAUACCGGAGAAUGUUAUCACGGGAGACACACGGCGGGUGCUAACGUCCGUCGUGAAGAGGGAAACAACCCAGACCGCCAGCUAAGGUCCCAAAGUCAUGGUUAAGUGGGAAACGAUGUGGGAAGGCCCAGACAGCCAGGAUGUUGGCUUAGAAGCAGCCAUCAUUUAAAGAAAGCGUAAUAGCUCACUGGUCGAGUCGGCCUGCGCGGAAGAUGUAACGGGGCUAAACCAUGCACCGAAGCUGCGGCAGCGACACUCAGGUGUUGUUGGGUAGGGGAGCGUUCUGUAAGCCUGCGAAGGUGUGUCGUGAGGCAUGCUGGAGGUAUCAGAAGUGCGAAUGCUGACAUAAGUAACGAUAAAGCGGGUGAAAAGCCCGCUCGCCGGAAGACCAAGGGUUCCUGUCCAACGUUAAUCGGGGCAGGGUGAGUCGACCCCUAAGGCGAGGCCGAAAGGCGUAGUCGAUGGGAAACGGGUUAAUAUUCCCGUACUUGGUGUUACUGCGAAGGGGGGACGGAGAAGGCUAUGUUGGCCGGGCGACGGUUGUCCCGGUUUAAGCGUGUAGGUGUGUGUUCCAGGUAAAUCCGGUUCACUUUAACACUGAGGCGUGACGACGAGGCACUACGGUGCUGAAGCAACAAAUGCCCUGCUUCCAGGAAAAGCCUCUAAGCAU
This 1367-nucleotide ribosomal RNA is filed under the name Salmonella enterica subsp. enterica serovar Oranienburg. RNAcentral describes it as "partial 23S ribosomal RNA". It matches the Rfam family "Bacterial large subunit ribosomal RNA", at positions 221 to 1629 of the family's 2925-position model. Lineage: Bacteria; Pseudomonadati; Pseudomonadota; Gammaproteobacteria; Enterobacterales; Enterobacteriaceae. The record is from RNAcentral.